GAUUAACGCUGGCGGCGUGCAUAACACAUGCAAGUCGAACGAUGAAACUUAAAUGAUUUCUUCGGAAUGAACUUAAGUGGAUUAGUGGCGGAUGGGUGAGUAACGCGUGAGUAACCUGCCUUACACAAGGGGAUAGCCGUUGGAAACGACGAAUAAUACCCUAUGAAACUAUCACUUCGCAUGAAGCGAUAGUCAAAGUGUUAGCGGUGUAAGAUGGACUUGCGUCUGAUUAGCUAGUUGGUGAGAAAAAAGCCCACCAAGGCAACGAUCAGUAGCCGGCUUGAGAGAGUGUACGGCCACAUUGGGACUGAGACACGGCCCAGACUCCUACGGGAGGCAGCAGUGGGGAAUUUUGCACAAUGGGGGAAACCCUGAUGCAGCGACGCCGCGUGAUUUAGAAGGCCUUCGGGUUGUAAAAAUCUUUUGUAUAGGAAGAAAAUGACAGUACUAUACGAAUAAGGUCCGGCUAAUUACGUG
Molecule: ribosomal RNA, 477 nt
Filed under: uncultured bacterium
Lineage: Bacteria
Description: partial 16S ribosomal RNA
Rfam family: Bacterial small subunit ribosomal RNA
Source: RNAcentral